RNAcentral lists this unclassified non-coding RNA (5182 nucleotides) under Agrilus planipennis (emerald ash borer). Its description in RNAcentral is "uncharacterized LOC108743489, transcript variant X2". Lineage: Eukaryota; Metazoa; Arthropoda; Insecta; Coleoptera; Buprestidae. The record is from RNAcentral.
UAUUCUGUUACCGCGCAUCUUCAUUGCGCAGUGUGAAUGGCGUCCGGUUGUUAUUGUUCAAAGCGUAUAAAUUGUUUUAAAGAAAAUUAUGUGCUUUAUACCAAAUAACUUGUGUUUAAAUGUUUGUUAUUGCUUCGUGUGUGUUUAAUUAAUUGAUCGUUAGUGUUUUGUAAAAGACCAGAAAGGUGUUAUAUGUGUGGAAAGUGUGUCACACAAAAUGGGUUAUUCAAGUUGAGCCUUCUGUAAGUCACCCUUAUUUUUCGGGAUGUAACUAAAAGAAAAACAUCUCAGUGAGUACUCCUGUACAUAGACAUCAUGGAAGAGUAAUUCUAGAUGGCAUUGGAAAGUGAUGGCUUUAGUGUUACUACAGUCGUCACUUGCGAAGGGGAUCUGUUAGAUCCCUCGUUUCCUAAACAGCUUAGGUGUGUGCUAGGAAGAUUAGAGAAUCUUUUAGGGGGGCACUUAUAUGUUUGCAAACUGGAGCCGUGGAACUCUGUUCGUGUUACGCUGUCUAUCCCUCGCGAGGCAGCCCUACGGCUGCGACAACUUGCCAGGGAAGGCUCACAGCAACUACGUGCCUUGGGCAUUUUAAGUGUUCAAGUCGAGGGAGAUCAAGUUAUUUCCUUACGCCUAGCUGGACCCGAUAGACAAGAAAUUGUUCUGCAAACUGUUCAACAAGAUGAAGGUAGUAGCAGCAAUACCAAUGCAACUUCCGAUGGGGGAUUAUCAAGAUUACUGUCGGGAGAAGUUCAAGUGCCAACGAAUUCUGUAUCUUCGGACAAGAUGCAGUUUCGUUCUCCCAACGUCGUGUGUCCACCGGAUAGUGUAGUUCCUAAAGUGCCUACACCGGGGGCCAUACAAUCGACGUUGUCAUCGUCCAGACUGCAGUCAGGACCUUUUCCUUUUACGAGCAUGAAUCAGGCGAUUCAGAGCCGGGAGAACAGCUCACUAGGAGGAGGAGGGACAGGUGGAAACGUGAGCACGUCAACUUCUUUCACACCACCACCACCUUAUCCUGGUAAACAUCCACCGGUGACGUUGUCGAGUCCGUUGCUUGUCAAUUUGCUUCAAAAUGACGGAACUUCUGCGACCACGACGACGACGACAAAAUCAGAUGUAGAAGGAUCGGGUAAAAUUCAAGCAAACGGUUCUAUGUUGCACCCGAACGUCUCAAAAAGCCUUACUCAAAUUUCCACUGUAAAAAGUCAUCCGCCUCCACCAUCACCUUCAUCAUCAUUCGCGCCGAAAACGAUCCCGAGCGUUCCUGCACGAACAACAGGCGUCUAUUCUGCGUCAGCUGUGACCGUUCAAAAUCAUAUUCCACCACCACCGCCUCCCCUUCAUCCAAAGAUCGUACAUUCACAACCGACCGUUACCGUAAACAGUAGUCUCAAUACGGACACCUGUUACAAACAACUAGUUCAUCAUCAGCGAAUCAAUAGUAAUAGUGUUAGUGCUUCAUCAAACAAUGCAAAAGUGCCCGCGCUUGUCUCGAACAGUGCCGUCGUUCAACAACAACAAACAACUAAUAAUUCGUUACCGGAUCGACAGUGUUCGACGAUGAUUGCGAAACCUAGUGCCGUUCUCCAAAACUCAGGUGAACUGGAACUGUCCAGUCAAUCGAUAGUUGCUAACAAAAUGCCACAACACACUGCACUCACUUCAAACAAUAAUAGUAGUAGUAGUGUCUCAUUAAUUCAACAGUCAUCCUCGAUCCUUGACGAUGCAAAAAGCAUUGCGUUUCGAUCGUGUUCGCCAAGUUUGAUGGACGAUUUGACUCCAACGUUAACGGAUUUGAAGGAAUCCGAUUUGGACCAGUUGUUACCAACUCUUGAACACGACAUUGCAAGUAGUCCACCAGAGCUGCCUGAGGUGUUCACCGACACCAAAGAUCGUCGUAAGUUUCUAAUCAAUCCACUGACGGGGGAGCUCGAAUUGCAAUCCAGCAGCGACGAGAGUGAAUGUGAUCCAGAUGAGCAGAUAAAAAAUGUGUUCACGGACCUGCCUUCACCUGCAGCGUCUGUUUCCGACGAUGACAUUGGUUCCUUAUCGAACCCAUCAACCACGACAAUGAUGGUAACUACAGCGUCGAAUCGAUUGCCGUUGGAUGCAACCACUGGAACUGCGUUGGAUCAUACCGGUAGCGACACGACAACAUCGGCGAAAAGUUCGAAACUAAAAAGUACAAAAGGGAGGCCAGAACGUUGCAUUGGCGGUCGUGAUUCUCCCAAAUUGAAACCGACUGAGAAAAUCAAAUUACGGUUGAAAUUGGAAAAAUCGGAACCAGUGAGCAGUGGGUACAAGGUCGAUGUGAGUUUUAUCAACACACCCCCGAAGAAAGCAACAACUUCAAACGUGAUAGCUACAGGUGAAGAAUUGCGUGUACCUCCACUUCACAUUUCACUAAGAGGUCGCAAUCAUGUUGUAAUUAACAAUAAAAAAAAGGUAAAAACAAAUGCAGAUGGUAACUUGAACAAACCGAAAGUUCGGAAAGCUCAAAUCGAGUUUAAGCCCAGAAAAGUGGGAGAAUCGGACAUGGAAUCGGACGAUCGCUCUUUAUCGCCUUUAAACAAAACUAAUAGCAGUGGCGAUUUUGCAAACACCAGUAAUAUACCGCCCGACCACACCAAAACCAGUGCCUUGGAUUCGAGAAAAAUCAGGAAGAUAAAAUCUGUACAAGAACACCGUGAACAAAACUUGCUUACGGGCGGUCACUUAGUCGAUCGAAGUAAAGAGUACGAACACCAAGUGGUUUACAAUACCCAUUUCAAAGAGAAAUUGAAAGAAAGACGAGGUAGCGAUUCGGAAUUGGCCCACAGCGCAAAACGGUUACUGGACAACAACGGAUUAAUUUCGGUUGAUAAGAAGAGGAGGCUCAGCCAGACAGACCACUUCGAUGAAUCUCAUCAGUCAUUAGUCGUGGGUUCGACCAACAUUGGUACAGUAUCAACACUCAGUCCAAAACCAAAAAAAGAGAAAUUGAAAGCAAAAGAUGGAAACAGCAAAGGUAAAGAGAUUGAUCGAAGUAAAAGUUAUGCGAAAAAUGUAGCUGAUAAACUUGCAAGCAAACAAGUCGCCCUUCCGACCGGUGAAAUUGACAUGGAAGCCAAAUUCAAACAGCGACUACUCGAAAACACUACGACAUCAGAUAAAGUACAUAAUAAUAACAGGUCGUACAGAACUACUGAAAAUAGUAACCUACAGAAGACGGACGAUGAGACAGAGAAUCUGGUGCCGAUAUUACCUAACCCGAUUCCGCACAAAGAUAAACCUCCUGAAAUAAUAGAUCAAAAGGCGGAUUUGACAGAGAAACAAGCCAGUCGGUCGCCAACUUCGGGUGGCCAGGGUGAAGAUAGCGGCAUUGAAAGCAUGGACGCUUUGAGCGAGAAAUCGCCAAACCAGGCCGGACAAAGUCCGCACGGUGAAAACAAAAAUCAAGUGCCUGACAUUCUGACUGAUAUUGAGGCGCAGUUAGCCAAAAUGGAGGGACUCAACGGUGAGGAAGAUAUGAACGAAAACAAACAGGACGGCACUACAAAACUAGAACAAUGUUGCGGUCUUACACCGUCGUCGGUCUCAGUAGUUCCAGAGCAACAGAGUAAAGAAACGCCUGGGACGGGCGUAGACCUUAUACCUGAUGGGAAAGACGACGAUUUGGACCCUUUACCAGUUCGUGUAACACCGCCCUUAUACACGUAUUCGAACGCCGAAAAAUCGGUAACGGUACGAAACGACGCUGAGAGUCCUACGUUCGAUUCGGACAGCAACUCGUGUCCGGUCGCUUUAAAGAGUAAAAGUCUUCUCGAACAACUCCUGAUAGAUAUUCCAGACAGUCAGACGCCCAGUUCGCCCAGCCCCGUGACACGAUCGCUGCGAACGCGAGCCUGUUCGAAACUGAACAGUCCUGAACUACUAAAUUCGCCUCCCGUGUCACGUGACAACCAAAAAUUGAAGAACGUCGUCGCGUCGGUUCCAGUGGCGACGGCAGCGACGCCGGCCGUCGCCAAACGAAAGAGACAUGAGUCGGAAAAUUCGAUCAACGCCGAUGACGCGUCUGUUCGCAGCAACAGCAAAAAGACGCGUAAAUGUUCAGAGAACGCUACGGAACUCAUCAAAGCUUGUAUGGGGGUCGAGACGCCGACAAAGUCAACGAUUCCAGUUGUGGUGGUUGGCAGGGAGAAGAAAAUAACGACGACGAUGACGACGACUACCACAACUGCCGGAUCAGGUGGAGGAAACAGCGGUCGGUUGAUAGCGGACGAAAGUUCGGACAGCGACGAACCUUUGAUCGAGGUAGCAGGCAAGGUGCGGAAGAACAACAACAUCGCCAGCAGUGGUGUAAGUGUCGGUAUCACGCCUAAAACAAAAACGAAACUGGCAACGUCAAUCCAAACGCCUGCAACUACAAUUAAUAAAACUGGGUCUAUAAAUACACGGCGUUCCGUUCGUGCUACGCCUGCGCUGAACACGCGAAGUAAGGGUGACAGGGUGCAGCCUGAUGCCGAAGUUUUACGGCGAAAAACUAGGAGUUCAGUAACGGAGGGCGAAAGCAAAAGGCGGAAAGACGUGAAGUGACGAUGCCUGGGAGGCUGCACUUGCUGCAGCCCUCUACCGCCUGCCCCCGGCCACGAGUUGCUGCGGUCCAUAUACGUAACCCGUACCGAAGUGCAGCCUUGAAUACUCACGGCAAUAGUACAAAAAGUCGACGGACUUUUGUAUAGAUUGUGAUAUAAGUAUAUAAUACACUACUUGUACAUAUAUAACAUAGCUAGAGAAUUGUACAUAGAGCCGUGUCGUUUAGUCACAUGGAUUUAUAAAUAUAUGCAUAUAAAUUAUGUAUAGAGUAUAAUAUUUGUAUUUUACACGAGAUACAUAACACAUAAAUACACCACCACCAUUACCACUGCAACCACAACCAUCUACCAGAAACAACUGCAUAUAAGUACCUAUUGAUUGAUGUCCACACCUGAUUGAUUAAUUUAGGUAGCCUUUAUAAAUUAAAUAAUGAUAAUAACAACGGUGAUGAUAUAUGAUAUAACACUAAUGAAAUGAUGAUGAUAUGUGGUUGGGUGAUGGUGAUUCUUGCAUUUUUUGCUACCGCUGCUAUACUAUUACUACUACUACUGCUACAACGUAGAGAACUUUGGACGUUUUAUUUUUAUGUAUAUUUUUUAUAACGAUU